Molecule: ribosomal RNA, 451 nt
Filed under: uncultured bacterium
Lineage: Bacteria
Description: partial 16S ribosomal RNA
Rfam family: Bacterial small subunit ribosomal RNA
Source: RNAcentral
GUGGGGAAUCUUCCGCAAUGGACGAAAGUCUGACGGAGCAACGCCGCGUGAGUGAUGAAGGUCUUCGGAUUGUAAAGCUCUGUUAAUCGGGACGAAAGAGCCUAGUGUGAAUAAUGCUAGGAAGUGACGGUACCGGAAUAGAAAGCCACGGCUAACUACGUGCCAGCAGCCGCGGUAAUACGUAGGUGGCAAGCGUUGUCCGGAAUUAUUGGGCGUAAAGCGCGCGCAGGCGGAUCUGCCAGUCUGUCUUAAAAGUUCGGGGCUUAACCCCGUGAUGGGAUGGAAACUACAGAUCUAGAGUAUCGGAGAGGAAAGUGGAAUUCCUAGUGUAGCGGUGAAAUGUGUAGAUAUUAGGAAGAACACCAGUGGCGAAGGCGACUUUCUGGACGAUGUCUGACGCUGAGGCGCGAAAGCUAGGGGAGCGAACGGGAUUAGAUACCCUUGUAGUCCC